AGUGAACGCUGGCGGCAGGCCUAACACAUGCAAGUCGAGCGGCAGCGCGGGGGCAACCCUGGCGGCGAGCGGCGGACGGGUGAGGAAUACAUCGGAAUCUGCCUUGUUGUGGGGGAUAACGUAGGGAAACUUACGCUAAUACCGCAUGAGACCGUAAGGUGAAAGUGGGGGAUCGCAAGACCUCACGCGACAAGAUGAGCCGAUGUCGGAUUAGCUAGUUGGUGAGGUAAAGGCUCACCAAGGCAACGAUCCGUAGCUGGUCUGAGAGGAUGAUCAGCCACACUGGGACUGAGACACGGCCCAGACUCCUACGGGAGGCAGCAGUGGGGAAUAUUGGACAAUGGGCGCAAGCCUGAUCCAGCCAUGCCGCGUGUGUGAAGAAGGCCU
Molecule: ribosomal RNA, 387 nt
Filed under: uncultured bacterium
Lineage: Bacteria
Description: bacterial SSU rRNA
Rfam family: Bacterial small subunit ribosomal RNA
Source: RNAcentral